Long non-coding RNA from Brassica oleracea var. oleracea, 328 nucleotides. RefSeq lists it as uncharacterized. Lineage: Eukaryota; Viridiplantae; Streptophyta; Magnoliopsida; Brassicales; Brassicaceae. The record is from RefSeq and is a predicted model, not a curated record. The transcript has 3 exons.
CCAGCCACACCAUAAAACAAUGCUUAGGAAUGCCUCCUUUAAUCCACACUGCUUUAGUCCAAGAAGUCAUCAGCAGUAGAUAUUGUCAGGCCAGAGAGGAAAGCAAGAAUGCUUACUUGAUUUUCAGACCUUGCCGGUGGCAGAAGCCAGUGACCAUUGUCAUACAAGCUUGCGAUGGUUGCAUCUUGUCUUAUACCAAGCCUAGUUCUUCUACCUCCUGUCAUGAGUUCACAAAUCUUUCCUUCCGGGUACCAGUUAUCUGUCCAGAAUCUGCAGUCUCUGCCACUCUCAAUCUUAAGUUUAAUCCAGAUUCCCUGACAGGAUUUCC